RNAcentral lists this ribosomal RNA (422 nucleotides) under uncultured bacterium. RNAcentral describes it as "bacterial SSU rRNA". It matches the Rfam family "Bacterial small subunit ribosomal RNA", at positions 355 to 774 of the family's 1533-position model. The record is from RNAcentral.
UAAGGAAUAUUGGACAAUGGACGCAAGUCUGAUCCAGCCAUGCCGCGUGAAGGAUGAAUGCCCUCUGGGUUGUAAACUUCUUUUAUAGGGGAAGAAAGAUACUUUUUUUAAGGUAGUUGACGGUACCCUAUGAAUAAGCACCGGCUAACUCCGUGCCAGCAGCCGCGGUAAUACGGAGGGUGCAAGCGUUAUCCGGAUUUACUGGGUUUAAAGGGUGCGUAGGCGGGCAUGUAAGUCAGUGGUGAAAUACCGGAGCUUAACUUCGGAACUGCCAUUGCUACUAUAUGUCUUGAAUAUUGUGGAGGUAAGCGGAAUAUGUCAUGUAGCGGUGAAAUGCAUAGAUAUGACAUAGAACACCGAUUGCGGAGGCAGCUUGCUACGCAAAUAUUGACGCUGAGGCACGAAAGCGUGGGAAUCAAACA